ACACCCCGAAACUAGGCGAGCUACUCUAAAAUAGCAAACAGACCAACCCAUCCCUGUUACAAAAGGGAGGGAAGAUUUUAAAGUAGAGGUGACACACCUAUCGAGCCUAGAGAUAGCUGGUUAUUCAAAAAACGGAUUUAAGUCCAACUUUAAGUUUUUUUAGUAUUACCAAACAACCCCUAAACUUAAAAGCCAUUCAAAUAAGGUACAGCCUAUUUGAACAAGGAGACAACCUAUAACACAAGGUAAUAGCCAGACACGUGAUUAAGUGGGCCUAAAAGCAGCCAACUUCCAAAAAGCGUCCAAGCCUCACCACUAAUACUACUAAUUCCACUACCCACACACAACCUGCAAUCAACACUGAAUGACCCCAUGCCCACAUGGAGAACAUUAUGCUAGAACUAGUAAUAAGAAGAUGAACUUCUCCAAAAUGCAAACAUGGGCCAAAAUGAACCCAUCACUGUCACCUACCGCUACUUCAACCCACAGUAUUAAACCACAAGAAAAUUCUACUAUGCUUAGCGUCAACCUUACACCAGA
RNAcentral lists this ribosomal RNA (540 nucleotides) under Stumpffia makira. RNAcentral describes it as "partial 16S ribosomal RNA". The stretch from base 5 to 120 matches the Rfam family "Bacterial large subunit ribosomal RNA", at positions 714 to 852 of the family's 2925-position model. The record is from RNAcentral. Lineage: Eukaryota; Metazoa; Chordata; Amphibia; Anura; Microhylidae.